Molecule: ribosomal RNA, 799 nt
Filed under: Prochlorococcus sp. scB241_526D20
Lineage: Bacteria; Bacillati; Cyanobacteriota; Cyanophyceae; Synechococcales; Prochlorococcaceae
Description: bacterial SSU rRNA
Rfam family: Bacterial small subunit ribosomal RNA
Source: RNAcentral
AGAGUUUGAUCCUGGCUCAGGAUGAACGCUGGCGGCGUGCUUAACACAUGCAAGUCGAACGAACCUUCGGGUUAGUGGCGGACGGGUGAGUAACGCGUGAGAAUCUGCCCUCAGGAGGGGGAUAACGGUUGGAAACGACCGCUAAUACCCCAUAUGCCUACUGGUGAAAUGAAUUUCGCCUGAGGAUGAGCUCGCGUCUGAUUAGCUAGUUGGUGAGGUAAUGGCUCACCAAGGCUUCGAUCAGUAGCUGGUCUGAGAGGAUGAUCAGCCACACUGGGACUGAGACACGGCCCAGACUCCUACGGGAGGCAGCAGUGGGGAAUUUUCCGCAAUGGGCGAAAGCCUGACGGAGCAACGCCGCGUGAGGGACGAAGGCCUCUGGGCUGUAAACCUCUUUUCUCAAGGAAGAAGAUAUGACGGUACUUGAGGAAUAAGCCACGGCUAAUUCCGUGCCAGCAGCCGCGGUAAUACGGGAGUGGCAAGCGUUAUCCGGAAUUAUUGGGCGUAAAGCGUCCGCAGGCGGCUUUUCAAGUCUGCUGUUAAAGCGUGGAGCUUAACUCCAUCAUGGCAGUGGAAACUGAAAGGCUUGAGUAUGGUAGGGGCAGAGGGAAUUCCCGGUGUAGCGGUGAAAUGCGUAGAUAUCGGGAAGAACACCAGUGGCGAAGGCGCUCUGCUGGGCCAUUACUGACGCUCAUGGACGAAAGCCAGGGGAGCGAAAGGGAUUAGAUACCCCUGUAGUCCUGGCCGUAAACGAUGAACACUAGGUGUCGGGGGGAUCGACCCCUUCGGUGUCGUAGCU